AUUGAACGCUGGCGGCAGGCCUAACACAUGCAAGUCGAGCGGUAGAGAGAAGCUUGCUUCUCUUGAGAGCGGCGGACGGGUGAGUAAUGCCUAGGAAUCUGCCUGGUAGUGGGGGAUAACGUUCGGAAACGGACGCUAAUACCGCAUACGUCCUACGGGAGAAAGCAGGGGACCUUCGGGCCUUGCGCUAUCAGAUGAGCCUAGGUCGGAUUAGCUAGUUGGUGGGGUAAUGGCUUACCAAGGCGACGAUCCGUAACUGGUCUGAGAGGAUGAUCAGUCACACUGGAACUGAGACACGGUCCAGACUCCUACGGGAGGCAGCAGUGGGGAAUAUUGGACAAUGGGCGAAAGCCUGAUCCAGCCAUGCCGCGUGUGUGAAGAAGGUCUUCGGAUUGUAAAGCACUUUAAGUUGGGAGGAAGGGCAGUAAAUUAAUACUUUGCUGUUUUGACGUUACCGACAGAAUAAGCACCGGCUAACUCUGUG
RNAcentral lists this ribosomal RNA (484 nucleotides) under uncultured bacterium. RNAcentral's name for it is "partial 16S ribosomal RNA". It matches the Rfam family "Bacterial small subunit ribosomal RNA", at positions 30 to 507 of the family's 1533-position model. The record is from RNAcentral.